GCUCUAUAAGGAACUGUGUUUUGACAUUCUCCUAGUCCUUUGUUUGCUUAACUAUCAUUCUAAACCACAUAUUCUCGUGAUGAGGGAGACCCCAUGAAAAAGGAGGCUGGACAAUAGCAGGCAGUAUAAAUCUACUCCAUCACACAAGCUGUUGAAAACAGUAAAAAAUGAGAAGCUUUUACUCAAGGUGGGACUGACCUCAAAUGGGCCGUUCGAGGCAGAGGGGAGCAGCUGGAGACUGCGGUGUGUGAACAGGCUGUUUGUUGAGCACUUGCAUUAAUCCAAGAGAAACCAGGAAAUCAGACUCAGUGCAAGGAUAUGCUUAUUGAUUUUAAAGAGCAAGAAGAAGGGAAAGAGAGAGAGAGA
This is a long non-coding RNA of Pteronotus mesoamericanus, 366 nucleotides long. RefSeq lists it as uncharacterized. The record is from RefSeq and is a predicted model, not a curated record. The transcript is spliced from 3 exons. NCBI's taxonomy places the organism in Eukaryota, Metazoa, Chordata, Mammalia, Chiroptera, Mormoopidae.